AUACGGAAGGUCCGGGCGUUAUCCGGAUUUAUUGGGUUUAAAGGGAGCGCAGGCGGAGAUGCAAGCGUGACGUCAAAUUUCGGGGCUCAACCCCGUCUCGCGUCGCGAACUGCGUCCCUUGGUUGCGGGAAGGGGAGGCGGAACUCGUGGGGGUGCGGGGGAAUGCAUGGAUAUAACGAAGAACUCCGAUCGCGAAGGCAGCCUUCCGGCCCGUCAACGACGCUCAUGCUCGAAGGUGCGGGUAUCAAACAGGAUUAGAUACCCUGGUAGUCCGCACAGUAAACGAUGGACACCCGCGGUUUGGCCUGUAUGGCUGAGCCGCCAAGCGAAAGCGUUAAGUGUCCCACCUGGGGAGUACGCCGGCAACGGUGAAACUCAAAUGAAUUGACGGGG
Molecule: ribosomal RNA, 393 nt
Filed under: uncultured bacterium
Lineage: Bacteria
Description: partial 16S ribosomal RNA
Rfam family: Bacterial small subunit ribosomal RNA
Source: RNAcentral